ACAUGAGCAAUGGCUGGUUGGUUGACUGUCUUUGGAUACAUUUGAAGCCCAUGUAUUAUGUGCAGAUGUGGUUAGACUAUGUGAGGUUCAACAAAUGGAGCAUGUAUGUGCUUGUGCAUAGGUCAAUGGAAGAAGAAGCUGGGUGUUGAGUGGGAUGCCCCUAUUGCAGUAAUUGAUAGAUAGCUUGGAGUUCUUUGUAGAGGUUGCAGAACCCUUUGAUCAACUAUCUUUAAUGCUCUGGAGAUCAAUUCAUCGUAACAAUCAAUUCUCAUUUUUGAUUCUAGUUAUCAUAGGACUGUUCAUACUUAUAGCCUCUUUAUGUUCCUAUAGAUAUUCUGUUUGUCAGAGAUAUUGUAUAUAUCUUAGACCUUACCAUAUUAGUUAGCUACCCUUUAGACUUCUGUUUUGUUCAGUUACCAAACUCCUUAGCCUUUUUAUCCAAUCUGCAUCCUGACCUUCUCUGUCUCUCUGUAGAUCCAAAUUCUGAUUAGAUAGGAUAUUUAGUAUAUCUGAGUCCUUAUUAUUCCUCGAAUGCCUGAAUUGGCUGGUUCAUCAUACCCCUCUGUCUGUGUUCAUGUAAUUUCUUCUCAGUUUGAGUAGGAUCCAAUCGCUACUUCUUCCUCUUGAAGUUGUUUUCCCCUUGGCCAAUUUUCUGUUUUUUGGGAAUGAAAAUUGGGAAGGGGAAUAAUAGUUAGUUGUAUCAUUUUCUUUUCCUGGUCUUCGGUAAUCUUUCCAUCAGCUUUCCUCUUGCCAGUCCAUUAUCCCUGUUAAGUGGUUUAUUUCUUCUCAAGAAAAGUCCAUCUUGCCUAUGGAUAUUAUUGAUCAUAUCGUCAUUGAUAAGUUGGCGCUGUUCGAAGAAGUUUGUUGAAGUGGAUGUUCUCUCUGUGCUCACCAUGGUAGCACCACUUGUUGUUUUUCAUUUUGCUGUAGGAUACUUGCAGUCUCUGGGUCCUUCGACAAAUCUGGUAGUUACUACUGCAGUGAUUAUCUAGUUAUCCGAUGUUUUGGAUUUUGGAGCUUUUACGUUUGUCCUUGAUCUAAGGAACUUCUUGUUAAGAAGUCUAUGCUGCUUGCCUUAAGAAGUCUGUGCUGCUGUUAGAGCUUUUACUUUUGUCCUUGAACUUAGGAACUUGUUAUUCUUGUUUCUCUAAUUCUGUUGUUUGGCUUAAGAAGUCUAUGCUGCUGUAGAGUACUGCAGUGAUUUUCUAGUUAUGUUGAUGUUUUAAGUUUUAAGAGCUUUUACUUUUGUACUUGGAACUUAGGAACUUGUUAUUCUGUUUCUCUAAUACUGUUGUUUGGCUUGAGAA
Long non-coding RNA from Capsicum annuum, 1307 nucleotides. RefSeq lists it as uncharacterized. The transcript is spliced from 2 exons. NCBI's taxonomy places the organism in Eukaryota, Viridiplantae, Streptophyta, Magnoliopsida, Solanales, Solanaceae. The record is from RefSeq and is a predicted model, not a curated record.